Molecule: ribosomal RNA, 1017 nt
Filed under: uncultured bacterium
Lineage: Bacteria
Description: bacterial SSU rRNA
Rfam family: Bacterial small subunit ribosomal RNA
Source: RNAcentral
UGAGGAAUAUUGGUCAAUGGGCGCAGGCCUGAACCAGCCAAGUAGCGUGAAGGAUGACUGCCCUAUGGGUUGUAAACUUCUUUUAUAAAGGAAUAAAGUCGGGUAUGUAUACCCGUUUGCAUGUACUUUAUGAAUAAGGAUCGGCUAACUCCGUGCCAGCAGCCGCGGUAAUACGGAGGAUCCGAGCGUUAUCCGGAUUUAUUGGGUUUAAAGGGAGCGUAGAUGGAUGUUUAAGUCAGUUGUGAAAGUUUGCGGCUCAACCGUAAAAUUGCAGUUGAUACUGGAUAUCUUGAGUGCAGUUGAGGCAGGCGGAAUUCGUGGUGUAGCGGUGAAAUGCUUAGAUAUCACGAAGAACUCCGAUUGCGAAGGCAGCUCACUAGACUGCAACUGACACUGAUGCUCGAAAGUGUGGGUAUCAAACAGGAUUAGAUACCCUGGUAGUCCACACAGUAAACGAUGAAUACUCGCUGUUUGCGAUAUACAGUAAGCGGCCAAGCGAAAGCAUUAAGUAUUCCACCUGGGGAGUACGCCGGCAACGGUGAAACUCAAAGGAAUUGACGGGGGCCCGCACAAGCGGAGGAACAUGUGGUUUAAUUCGAUGAUACGCGAGGAACCUUACCCGGGCUUAAAUUGCAUUUGAAUAAUCUGGAAACAGGCAAGCCGCAAGGCGUCUGUGAAGGUGCUGCAUGGUUGUCGUCAGCUCGUGCCGUGAGGUGUCGGCUUAAGUGCCAUAACGAGCGCAACCCUCGUGUCCAGUUACUAGCAGGUUAUGCUGAGGACUCUGGACAGACUGCCAUCGUAAGAUGUGAGGAAGGUGGGGAUGACGUCAAAUCAGCACGGCCCUUACGUCCGGGGCUACACACGUGUUACAAUGGGGGGUACAGCAGGCAGCUACCGGGCGACCGGAUGCCAAUCCCGAAAGCCUCUCUCAGUUCGGACUGGAGUCUGCAACCCGACUCCACGAAGCUGGAUUCGCUAGUAAUCGCGCAUCAGCCACGGCGCGGUGAAUACGUUCCC